This 593-nucleotide long non-coding RNA is filed under the name Homo sapiens (human). Its description in RNAcentral is "HSALNT0318184". The record is from RNAcentral. Lineage: Eukaryota; Metazoa; Chordata; Mammalia; Primates; Hominidae.
GGAGGCGUUACCUGCGGAGGGUUUGAGGAAGGCCCAGGAGCGAGCCCAUGGUCUUCCGACGCGGGGCCAGGGGCGGGCCCCAGGAUCCGGAGCUUCGGGGGGGCCGAGUCCGGGUUUGGGGCCCGGGAGGCGGGGCCAGUUAGGUCGAGGGUCCCUGGGAUCGUCGGGUCAGGCCUUGGGCUAACGUAGGCACUCUCGCAGUUCCUCCGCCUUCAGGAAGGUCUUUUUAGCAGGGGCCUUACGGGUGCAUGCUUCGGUCCUGGAGGACUUAGGCUAGCCUCCUCUCCAUCAGCGCCACCCGUCUGGGGCCCGAAAGGAGGGAGCUUUCCCUCUGUCCCCCAGCCUUUGGACUGUCACCAAACAAGCCAUUCGUUCACCAAAUACUUUUUAAGCGCCUACCAUGUGCCUGACAAGGGAUAUGUAACGGUGAGAAAAACUAGGUGUGGUCCAGGCCCUUCAGGGACUCAGGGGCUCGUGGAAGAAGUGGAUAUUGAAGUACUUAUCACACAAAGGAGGAUAAAAGUACGAUAGCGAUAUCUACCACGAAGCCCAGUAAAGGCGCCAUUCCCCAUUUUACAGCUGGGGAAACUGAG